GAUGAAGAACGUAGCGAAAUGCGAUAAGUAAUGUGAAUUGCAGAAUUCAGUGAAUCAUCGAAUCUUUGAACGCAUCUUGCGCUCCUUGGUAUUCUGAGGAGCAUGCCUGUUUGAGUGUCAUUAAAUUCUCAACUACACUGACUUUGAAUUGGUGUGGCUUGGAUUUGGGGGGAAAAUUGUUGUGGGCUUUUUGUACAGUCUGCUCCCCUGAAAUUGAUUAGCGGUACCUUUGUGGAACUGUCUACAGGUGUGAUAAUUAUCUACAUCUUAGACAUCUGCUGGAAUGCUGCUUUCUAAACCUUACUUGUAUUGACAAUCUUGACCUCAAAUCAGGUAGGACUACCCGCUGAACUUAAGCAUAUCAAUAAGCGGAGGA
RNAcentral lists this unclassified non-coding RNA (376 nucleotides) under soil metagenome. Its description in RNAcentral is "partial contains 5.8S ribosomal RNA, internal transcribed spacer 2, and large subunit ribosomal RNA". The stretch from base 1 to 120 matches the Rfam family "5.8S ribosomal RNA", at positions 35 to 154 of the family's 154-position model. The record is from RNAcentral.